Ornithodoros turicata is the source of this 523-nucleotide long non-coding RNA. RefSeq lists it as uncharacterized. The record is from RefSeq and is a predicted model, not a curated record. The transcript is spliced from 2 exons. Lineage: Eukaryota; Metazoa; Arthropoda; Arachnida; Ixodida; Argasidae.
GUCUCGGCUACGGGCACGCAGCCGUCGCAGUUCCAGUUGUCGCCAAGGCAGUCGUUCCAGCUACCGUCUCCAGUGCUGUGACGUACAGAAGCGAUGUGUACGCACCACGUGUCGCUAAGGUGGCAGUCGCCGCACCAGUUGCUGUGGCGCCUGUUGCCGUCGCUGCCCCAGUCGCCUAUGGCCACGGAUACGGCGGCUACGGGCACGGUCUCGCACUUGGCGGCUAUGGUCUCGGACACGGAGCCCACGGAGCCUAUGGAGGCUACGGAGGCUACGGGGCCUAUGGAGGCUACGGAGGCUACGGAGCUCACGGCGCCUAUGGAGCCUUUGGCGGUUACGGUCAUGGUCUCGGCUACGGACACAAAUUCCUCGGCUAAGUGACUGCUGCGUAUUUAUUCGACGUAUACAGGAAGUGAGGUGUGGUCUUCCUGGACUGUAUGGUUCAAGUGUAGCUCUUGAAUUGUGACUGCAACACUUUUAAAGAGCGCCGACAAUAAAAAGUUGCCUCGGGCACACAAACCUG